CUAGAAGGACGGAUUCUCCGAGUCGCUGGAGGACUCAGGAGUCAUCGCCGGUGGAGAAUUGGAGUUAUUGGCCCCGAUUUGUUGCAGACGCAAGAUGCAACAUUUAAAUCGGGCCGGCGUUGCUGGUGAGUAAAUUCGUGGUGGAAAUAUAACGCAGCUGACAUUUGUGCCACUACAGCAGCCGUUAUUUGCGUUUGCAAUUUAUUUGAAUUGCAGUUCCGGAUGUGAGUCCCGCGCAGCCGUCAUUGCGAUUUUCUUGGAGCCGCUGGCAUCAUUUGACGGUGGAGUCUGGCUGGAUUUGGGCAGAGAGCUCGUCGCUUUAAGUGGAGUCGGGUGUUGCCAGCAGCGCCGCGUCUUCCAGUCAUUUCGCCAGGAAACUGCCAACCCAUUUUCGGGAUUCAUCGCCAGUCGUCCAGAGGGUCCAGAACGUUGUAAAUUCCCGCGCCGCCGUCUUGUUGCAAGGUCCGGAAAGUUGCUGCAUCUCAGCUGGAGUCCGUCAUAAGAUCGGCAAGGAAGUCGUCAUUUUAUUUGGAGUCGUCGGAAGCGCCGCUUCUGUAGGCCAUUUCGCCAGGAAAAGAGAACCAUCUUGCAGUCGCCGGGCCAAAAUGCUUUGCCGAGGGCCGCCGCUCGAGAAAGUCCAUGGAAUUGGAUGCAUAAAAUUGGAUUAGAUAAGUGUGCUUAUGUGUUUAAUUUUUGUUUUGUCUGAUUUUGGUUUCUUGUCUUUUCUUUUGCAGGUCCAGUUGUCCGGGAUUUAUCAAAUUUGGAGGACAAUUUUUCAGACGUUUCUACAAGGAUGUCGUUGUAUUUUGCCGUCGGGAUUGGAAACGGUAUACAUACAUUGCCCAUACAUUGCUCACCAAAAGGCUGCAGGAGUAAUCGUUCGUGUGUGUCGUGUUACCACUGUCUGUCGUGUCAUUAUUGUCAUUUUGCGUGUGAAUUUUUGAGACAUUCCGGCUAGUGGUAGCCGAUCGCUUGGUACUUGUGGCAUUCAGUGGUGACUGUGGCAUAGAGACGGAAUGAAAAUAGGUUGUAUUUCAGCAGCGCGCUUGCAAUUUAAAUUAUGGAAAACGAAACAAGGUUCCUGUUGUCAACCUAUUUAAGCAAAAUGCCAAUAAAUUUACACACAUUGUCCAUUGAGCCACAAAUGAAUCUACAUUUUUAAUUGUACCUAGUUACAUGGCAUAUUUGAAUACUUAAGAUGUCUACUAUUUUUCCGACAAAUGUAACAAUAUAUACAAAUACUACAUAUAUCUGCGAGAACGCAAUGUCAGUCAAAAAUAAUGUUAAAGCUGAAUGUCUCAGUAGCAUACUUACGAUGGAAACUGCAAAUUGUAAAACUUAAGACAUAGGGAACCUAAAAAUUAUAAAAGAAAUAGAACCAGCACACAUUUUAAUAUUAAACACACAGAACACAACCAUUGAAUCAAACUGUACUACUAAAAUUUCCAUUAGGGGAUCCGCAUUAGUAACGAAAACUGCAAAGUAGUUGUAAACCAAAUUCCGUGCGACAAGGAGCUAUCUCAGUACGAGGAGAUGAUAGAUGCCCACAUCCCAAUCAUAAAGAAUAUAAAUUUCACCGAGAGCACAGAAGACAUCAACCUACAUAAGCUGAACCUUGUAGUAUAUACAUACAUGUAUAAUAAUAAUAAUUACAAAAUUACACAUAUAAAUCAUAAUAAUAAGACAACCAAUAUGUAAACAUAAGUCCACCCUAGAAUCUUAAGUCCACCCUAUCUUAAUAUGCUAAUUCAGCAAUGUACGCAUUUAGGGGUUGCGCUUGACUUCCAUUGGUUAUCGAGCAUGAACUUCAUACAUGCAUAUUGCUGUUUUUGCUAGUGUCAGCACUUUUGCUGUCACGAACGAUCGGCCUGCAGGCCACGCUGAGUCUCAGUUAUAAAAUAAGAAUAUAUCAAGAAGUGCACGUUGUGAAGAAAAAUCAAAUAAAGAUGAAAAUAACUAAUUACAUUGGAAUUAAUUAACUACAUGGCGACCGUGACAGGACCAACCUUCGGAAGGACCAAAAAUAAAAAGAAAAUUUUUUAAAAUAAAAGCGACAACAAGUACGAGUGGCAAUCCGUCACUUAUACCAACGUUGGAAGAUAUGCAGAUGCCAACUACAACAACACCAGCGCGGGAGACCUAAAAAUUGAACACCAAAGUUACUAAUAAAAAUCGUUGGUGUUCGAUUUUACUGAAUAGCAGAGCUGAAUACAAAAAGGAUGGCAAAAAUAAACUGAAUUCCAACCAAGAAGAUACGUGACCAGAGGACUGCGAGGGAAUUUGGAGCCCUUUUUGUCAUGGAACCUGUGCGAUGACCAGCACCGGUACCGCCUGAUCCCAAAGGCUCCGGGCAGCAGCAGAUUGUCAUCGAGGAAGUGUCAGCGUGUCAGCACCGGCGACGACCAGCUGACACAGGAAAAAGAAGACAUCAACAACUAUAACAUAAGAUGACAUCAAGCAGAAAUUUUUUUAAUAAAAUAUUUAAGAUACAAGAAUAUAAUAUCCAUAAAAUUGUA
Molecule: long non-coding RNA, 2516 nt
Organism: Drosophila santomea
Lineage: Eukaryota; Metazoa; Arthropoda; Insecta; Diptera; Drosophilidae
Exons: 3
Source: RefSeq, a predicted model, not a curated record